GUGUACGGCCAUGCUACCCCGAACGUGCCCAAACUUGUCUGAUCUCAGAAGCUAAACAGGGUCGGGCCUGGUUAGUAUUUGGAUGGGAGAUCAUCUAGGAAUACCAGGUGCUGUAGUCA
RNAcentral lists this ribosomal RNA (119 nucleotides) under Pteropus alecto (black flying fox). Lineage: Eukaryota; Metazoa; Chordata; Mammalia; Chiroptera; Pteropodidae. The record is from RNAcentral.